This is a long non-coding RNA of Cyprinus carpio (common carp), 713 nucleotides long. Lineage: Eukaryota; Metazoa; Chordata; Actinopteri; Cypriniformes; Cyprinidae. The record is from Ensembl.
AUGUAUGUGCUGUGCACACUGGUGUUGCUGUCUCUCCACAACCUGUUUAGGAGACCCAGGGUCUUGGAACCCUCUGUACCCAAGGCUAUCGAGGGUCCUCCUGAGCAGCACAGACCAGAGGAAGCCAAACUGGGACGCAAGAAGAGGAACAAGCACACCUUGCAUGAAGGUUCUGGACCUCUAGAGUCAUCAGGAGCCCAUGACUUUGAAAGAUGCCUAGAUGGACCCAGUAGAGCAAGUAAAAGAAGAUCCGUUCACUUGGAUAAUGUGCACAAGAGGAAGAAGAGAGCACAGACACUGCAAGAGAGAGUCUGUGAGUUCCAGGCACGUUUGCGCAGUGAAGACUCUGCCAAAAGACUCCUGCUACAGCGACUGCAGACACACGACCACCAGCUCAACCAAGACAACCACCUGAACGAGGAACAUUCAUCCAUUAACCAAGAACCUCAAGAGCAGCUCAGACUGCAGGACAGCCAGCUCAACCAAGCUGUGUCACCUACAGGUGAGAGAGAGGAAAUGGUUCAGAUUGUAGAGACUAUAAUUGUAAAUUAAAUUAGUCAUUUUUCAUAUUAUUAUUAUUAUUAUAAAUUAUAUAAAUGUUAUAUUUAUAACAUUUGAAUCUUAUUUUUAUACAUUUAUUAGAAAUAUUAUGGAAUGUGUGUGUAUAUAUAUAUAUAUAUAUAUAUAUAUAUAUAUAUAUAUAUAUAUAUAUA